RNAcentral lists this transfer RNA (69 nucleotides) under Urocitellus parryii (Arctic ground squirrel). Its description in RNAcentral is "Spermophilus parryii (Arctic ground squirrel) tRNA". It matches the Rfam family "tRNA". From Rfam's summary of the family: Transfer RNA (tRNA) molecules are approximately 80 nucleotides in length. Their secondary structure includes four short double-helical elements and three loops (D, anti-codon, and T loops). The record is from Rfam by way of RNAcentral. Lineage: Eukaryota; Metazoa; Chordata; Mammalia; Rodentia; Sciuridae. RNAcentral also lists the same sequence under 2 other names.
GGGGUUGUAGCUCAUUGGUAGAGCGCUUGUCUAGCAUAUAUGAGGCACUGGGUUCGAUUGUCAGCACCA